CGGCGUGCUUAACACAUGCAAGUCGAGCGGUAAGGCCCUUCGGGGUACACGAGCGGCGAACGGGUGAGUAACACGUGGGUGAUCUGCCUCGCACUCUGGGAUAAGCCUGGGAAACUGGGUCUAAUACCGGAUAUGACCACGAAUCGCAUGGUUUGUGGUGGAAAGGUUUACUGGUGCGAGAUGGGCCCGCGGCCUAUCAGCUUGUUGGUGGGGUAACGGCCUACCAAGGCGACGACGGGUAGCCGGCCUGAGAGGGCGACCGGCCACACUGGGACUGAGACACGGCCCAGACUCCUACGGGAGGCAGCAGUGGGGAAUAUUGCACAAUGGGCGAAAGCCUGAUGCAGCGACGCCGCGUGAGGGAUGACGGCCUUCGGGGAAACCUCUUUCGACAGGGACGAAGCGCAAGUGACGGUACCUGUAGAAGAWGCACCGGCCAACUACGUGCCAGCAGCCGCGGUAAUAC
This 466-nucleotide ribosomal RNA is filed under the name Nocardia otitidiscaviarum. RNAcentral's name for it is "bacterial SSU rRNA". It matches the Rfam family "Bacterial small subunit ribosomal RNA", at positions 40 to 526 of the family's 1533-position model. The record is from RNAcentral. Lineage: Bacteria; Bacillati; Actinomycetota; Actinomycetes; Mycobacteriales; Nocardiaceae.